GGGGCUAUCUGGUUUUGACAGCAGGUAGAGUAGUUGUGUAAGCACGCCGAGCAUUGAGGAUACGCUCGUAAAUAUCAUCUUCGAACUAUAACUGGCAACACUUCUUAUGCUCUCGCUGCCUAAUCGAAGUAUAGUAGAUUAGCAUCAUUCGGGCGCAAGGCGCCUGAACGGGACGUCGCUCCAAGCCGAGUCUGUGGGCUGAAGGAUCAAGCGGCGCAGGAAUACACAGAAUAGUUUUUGCAGGCUGCGAUGCAAAAGCGAAAACAAAGCAGAUAAGCCGGUAGUUGGUGGCUUGGGUCUUGCUGCCGGACGAAAACCAAGGCCAAGAUAAGCGUGUAGAAAGCACAAAUAUUCCUUGUUUGGACGCGGGUUCGACUCCCGCUAGCUCCAC
RNAcentral lists this transfer-messenger RNA (391 nucleotides) under bovine gut metagenome. It matches the Rfam family "transfer-messenger RNA". Rfam says of the family: Bacterial tmRNA, also known as 10Sa RNA or SsrA, is named for its dual tRNA and mRNA-like properties. Its role is to liberate the mRNA from a stalled ribosome. The record is from RNAcentral.